AUUCCAGCUCCAAUAGCGUAUAUUAACGUUGUUGCAGUUAAAAAGCUCGUAGUUGGAUUUGUGGGUGCAGAUGCGGUUCCGAAAUGUUUUGGUGCUUCAUGUUGCAUCCAUCCUUGGGUGGAAUCUGUGUGGCAUUAGGUUGUCGUGCAGGGGAUGCCCAUCGUUUACUGUGAAAAAAUUAGAGUGUUCAAAGCAGGCUUACGCCGUUGAAUAUAUUAGCAUGGAAUAAUGAGAUAGGACCUUGGUACUAUUUUGUUGGUUUGCGCACCGAGGUAAUGAUUAAUAGGGACAGUUGGGGGUAUUCGUAUUCCAUUGUCAGAGGUGAAAUUCUUGGAUUUUUGGAAGACGAACUACUGCGAAAGCAUUUACCAAGGAUGUUUUC
RNAcentral lists this ribosomal RNA (382 nucleotides) under Sellaphora pupula. Its description in RNAcentral is "SSU rRNA". It matches the Rfam family "Eukaryotic small subunit ribosomal RNA", at positions 582 to 971 of the family's 1831-position model. The record is from RNAcentral. Lineage: Eukaryota; Bacillariophyta; Bacillariophyceae; Sellaphorales; Sellaphoraceae.